UACAGAGGGGGCAAGCGUUGUUCGGAAUUACUGGGCGUAAAGGGCGCGUAGGCGGCCUGUUAAGUCGAACGUGAAAUCCCCGGGCUCAACCCGGGAACUGCGUCCGAAGCUGGCAGGCUCGAAUUCGGGAGAGGGAUGCGGAAUUCCAGGUGUAGCGGUGAAAUGCGUAGAUAUCUGGAGGAACAUCGGUGGCGAAGGCGGCUCACUGGCUCAUAUCUGACGCUCAGGCGCGACAGCGUGGGGAUCAAACAGG
Molecule: ribosomal RNA, 253 nt
Filed under: uncultured bacterium
Lineage: Bacteria
Description: partial 16S ribosomal RNA
Rfam family: Bacterial small subunit ribosomal RNA
Source: RNAcentral